This 253-nucleotide unclassified non-coding RNA is filed under the name uncultured Planctomycetota bacterium. Its description in RNAcentral is "uncultured planctomycete contains 16S-23S intergenic spacer region". It matches the Rfam family "Bacterial small subunit ribosomal RNA", at positions 524 to 776 of the family's 1533-position model. Lineage: Bacteria; Pseudomonadati; Planctomycetota. The record is from RNAcentral.
UACGGAGUGUGCAAGCGUUACUCGGAAUCACUGGGCAUAAAGAGCACGUAGGCGGGAUGGUAUGUCGGUGGUGAAAUCCCCCAGCUCAACUGGGGAACUGCCUCCGAAACUGCUUUCCUUGAGGCCGAGAGGGGUGAGUGGAACUUCUGGUGGAGCGGUGAAAUGCGUAGAUAUCAGAAGGAACACCGGUGGCGAAAGCGACUCACUGGCUCGGUUCUGACGCUGAGGUGCGAAAGCGUGGGUAGCAAACAGG